GCGAUAAGCGCCGGUAAGGUGAUAUGAACCGUUAUAACCGGCGAUACCCGAAUGGGGAAACCCAGUGUGAUUCGUCACACUAUCAUUAACUGAAUCCAUAGGUUAAUGAGGCGAACCGGGGGAACUGAAACAUCUAAGUACCCCGAGGAAAAGAAAUCAACCGAGAUUCCCCCAGUAGCGGCGAGCGAACGGGGAGGAGCCCAGAGCCUGAAUCAGCAUGUGUGUUAGUGGAAGCGUCUGGAAAGGUGCGCGAUACAGGGUGACAGCCCCGUACACAAAAGCGCAUGUGCUGUGAGCUCGAUGAGUAGGGCGGGACACGUGGUAUCCUGUCUGAAUAUGGGGGGACCAUCCUCCAAGGCUAAAUACUCCUGACUGACCGAUAGUGAACCAGUACCGUGAGGGAAAGGCGAAAAGAACCCCGGCGAGGGGAGUGAAAAAGAACCUGAAACCGUGUACGUACAAGCAGUGGGAGCACAGGUUUACCUGUGUGACUGCGUACCUUUUGUAUAAUGGGUCAGCGACUUAUAUUCUGUAGCAAGGUUAACCGUAUAGGGGAGCCGUAGGGAAACCGAGUCUUAACCGGGCGUUAAGUUGCAGGGUAUAGACCCGAAACCCGGUGAUCUAGCCAUGGGCAGGUUGAAGGUUGGGUAACACUAACUGGAGGACCGAACCGACUAAUGUUGAAAAAUUAGCGGAUGACCUGUGGCUGGGGGUGAAAGGCCAAUCAAACCGGGAGAUAGCUGGUUCUCCCCGAAAGCUAUUUAGGUAGCGCCUCGUGAAUUCAUCUCCGGGGGUAGAGCACUGUUUCGGCUAGGGGGCCAUCCCGGCUUACCAACCCGAUGCAAACUGCGAAUACCGGAGAAUGUUAUCACGGGAGACACACGGCGGGUGCUAACGUCCGUCGUGAAGAGGGAAACAACCCAGACCGCCAGCUAAGGUCCCAAAGUCAUGGUUAAGUGGGAAACGAUGUGGGAAGGCCCAGACAGCCAGGAUGUUGGCUUAGAAGCAGCCAUCAUUUAAAGAAAGCGUAAUAGCUCACUGGUCGAGUCGGCCUGCGCGGAAGAUGUAACGGGGCUAAACCAUGCACCGAAGCUGCGGCAGCGAACGUAUCACCCAAGACAACUUUACGGAGUUGACGAUUGACGGAGCGAAGCGACGUCAAAGCGUUCAUUAAAGUCGAGUUGGCUUAGGGAUACGUUCGUUGGGUAGGGGAGCGUUCUGUAAGCCUGUGAAGGUGUGUCGUGAGGCAUGCUGGAGGUAUCAGAAGUGCGAAUGCUGACAUAAGUAACGAUAAAGCGGGUGAAAAGCCCGCUCGCCGGAAGACCAAGGGUUCCUGUCCAACGUUAAUCGGGGCAGGGUGAGUCGACCCCUAAGGCGAGGCCGAAAGGCGUAGUCGAUGGGAAACGGGUUAAUAUUCCCGUACUUGGUGUUACUGCGAAGGGGGGACGGAGAAGGCUAUGUUGGCCGGGCGACGGUUGUCCCGGUUUAAGCGUGUAGGUGUGUGUUCCAGGUAAAUCCGGUUCACUUUAACACUGAGGCGUGACGACGAGGCACUACGGUGCUGAAGCAACAAAUGCCCUGCUUCCAGGAAAAGCCUCUAAGCAUCAGGUAACACGAAAUCGUACCCCAAACCGACACAGGUGGUCAGGUAGAGAAUACCAAGGCGCUUGAGAGAACUCGGGUGAAGGAACUAGGCAAAAUGGUGCCGUAACUUCGGGAGAAGGCACGCUGACACGUAGGUGAAGUGAUUUACUCAUGGAGCUGAAGUCAGUCGAAGAUACCAGCUGGCUGCAACUGUUUAUUAAAAACACAGCACUGUGCAAACACGAAAGUGGACGUAUACGGUGUGACGCCUGCCCGGUGCCGGAA
Molecule: ribosomal RNA, 1869 nt
Filed under: Salmonella enterica subsp. enterica serovar Typhimurium
Lineage: Bacteria; Pseudomonadati; Pseudomonadota; Gammaproteobacteria; Enterobacterales; Enterobacteriaceae
Description: partial 23S ribosomal RNA
Rfam family: Bacterial large subunit ribosomal RNA
Source: RNAcentral